GACGAACGCUGGCGGCGUGCUUAACACAUGCAAGUCGAGCGGUAAGGCCCUUCGGGGUACACGAGCGGCGAACGGGUGAGUAACACGUGGGUGAUCUGCCUCGCACUCUGGGAUAAGCCUGGGAAACUGGGUCUAAUACCGGAUAUGACCUUACAUCGCAUGGUGUUUGGUGGAAAGAUUUAUCGGUGCGAGAUGGGCCCGCGGCCUAUCAGCUUGUUGGUGGGGUAAUGGCCUACCAAGGCGACGACGGGUAGCCGGCCUGAGAGGGCGACCGGCCACACUGGGACUGAGACACGGCCCAGACUCCUACGGGAGGCAGCAGUGGGGAAUAUUGCACAAUGGGCGAAAGCCUGAUGCAGCGACGCCGCGUGAGGGAUGACGGCCUUCGGGUUGUAAACCUCUUUCGACAGGGACGAAGCGCAAGUGACGGUACCUGUAGAAGAAGCACCGGCCAACUACGUG
Molecule: ribosomal RNA, 462 nt
Filed under: Nocardia cyriacigeorgica
Lineage: Bacteria; Bacillati; Actinomycetota; Actinomycetes; Mycobacteriales; Nocardiaceae
Also listed under: 1 other name
Description: bacterial SSU rRNA
Rfam family: Bacterial small subunit ribosomal RNA
Source: RNAcentral